GCGGCGUGGUUGGCUUCUUCCACUUCAACAAUACCUCUUCCAGUCUGCUGCCCCUCUUUUCCUUCCUUCUUCUCUUGCUGAAAUUCUACUUGUGGUGGUGAGGCCGCUAUCCUCGUCAGUUGUGGAUCCCCCGCAGUCAUCCGAUCGGUAUACUGUUGUCUCUCUUGAAUCCCAACCUCUCCUUAUCCCGAGUAUCAUUAUUUUCCAGCCAUCCCUACACUAUCAUCAACCCUUGCUGAAUCAACCGAAAACUAAGAGUUUUAUGUCCGAUAGGAUCAAACUUACUACUUUUGUGGAAACAUUUAUAAGUAGUUUAGUUGGAUAAUAUUAUUAUUUCUUAUAUAGUGUGCUCCCUAUCAUCUUUGUGUUGCUCCUAGUUGGCUUUUACUAUCAUUUUCUUGCUGAAAUUUUAUUUACUAUUUUGCUUAUGGUGAUUGAAGUUUUCUAGAAUUCUCAAAACAAAAAAAAGAUUAAUUAGUUUUCAAAGUUUUAAUUAAAAUUUUAAUUUUUGCAACCUCACGUUUGCAUUAAUUGGUAUCAAAACAAUAAUAUUACUCAACUAAACUGCUUAUAAAUGUUCCAACAAAAGUAGUAAGUUGGAUUUUAUCGGGCAUAAAAUUUUUAGUUUUCGGUUGAUUCAGUAAGGGUUGAUGAUAGUAGAGGGAUGGCUGAAAAAUAAUGAUACCUGGGAUAAGGAGAAGGAUUCAAGAGGAACAACGGUGUACCAAUCGUGUGAUUGAGAGGUUAGGUGCGGAGCCUCACUCGAAUAGUGAUGCAAACGUGAGGUUGCAAAAACUAAAAUUUCAAUUAAAAUCUUGAAAAUUAGUUAAUCUUUUUUUUUUGUUUUGAGAAUUUUAGAGAACUUCAAUCACCAUAAGCAAAAUAGUAAAUAAAAUUUCAGCAAGAAAGUAAUAAUAAAAUUCAACUAAGAGCAAUACAAAGAUAAUAGGGAGCACACUAUAUAAGGAACAAUAAUAUUACUCAAUUAAAUUACUUAUAAAUUUUUUCACAAAAGUAGUAAGUUUGAUCCUAUCGGGCAUAAAAUUUUUAGUUUUCGGUUGAUUCAGCAAGGGUUGAUGAUAGUGGAGGGAUGGCUGGAAAAUAAUGAUACCUGGGAUAAGGAGAGGUCAGGAUUCAAGAGGGACAACAAUGUACCGAUCGCGUGACUGCGGGGGAUCUACGGCUGACGAGGAUAGCGGCCUCACCACAGGUAGAAUUUCAGCAAGAGGGAAAGGAAGGAAAAGAGGGGCAGCAAGCCGGAAGAAGUAUUGUUGAAGAGGAAGAAGCCAACCAUGCCGUGAGGAAGAAGCGACACGAUCAAUGGGAGAAAGGAAGAAGAUAAGGGGACAAUAGAAAAUUUAUGUUCUUAAAAAAUCUCCCCUCCCAAGGUUCAACAUUUGGAUAUUUAUAAUGCCAAAAAUCAGUCUCAUAUUAAUUUCUGUUGUCUCUUCAUUUUUUAAAGCAGCACUGCAUUAAAAAUCAGUGUCUCUUCAUUUUUUCAAGACAGCACUGCAUUAAAAAUCAGCUUGUCUCGUCUUUUUGUUUUCUCCAAAACAUUGACUCCAAAAGGUCAAAAGAUGAAAGAGAAGAGGAGGCAUUAACUUUAGCCCAUUAUUUGUCUGUGUCUAAUUCAGGCUUAAGACAAUUAGUUUUAGUUGGUUCAGCUAACUUAAAUCUAUCAUCCACCAAAAUUAUCUCCAAAAUCUAAAACCAACAUGGCUGAACUUAAUGUCUUCUCUUUUUUUGCACCUUAUGACUUUUGGAGCAUGUGCCUUGGAAUAAAUGGAGGAGUAAUGGGCUGAAGUUAAUGCCUCCUCUUCUCUUUCAUCUUUUGACCUUUUGGAGUCGGUAUUUUGGAGAAAACGAAAAGGCAAGAGAUAAGCUGAUUUUUAAUGCAGUGCUGCCUUGGAAAAAUGAAGAGACAAGCAUAUUUUUAAUGCAGUGCUGCCUUGAAAAAUGAGGAGACAACAGAAAUCAAUAUGAUGUUAAUUUUUGGCAUUAUAAAUAUCAAAAUGUUGAAGCUUGGGAGAAGAGAUUUUUGAAGAACAGAAAUUUUCUAUUGUCCCCUUAUCUUCUUCCUUUCUCCUAUUGAUCGUGUCGCUUCUUCCUCGUGGCGUGGUUGGCUUCUUUCUUUUCAACAAUACUUGAACUGAUGCAGCUACUAGUGCUGCGAUCAUCAUUUCUUAUUUUAUUACAUGCAAAUUUUUUUUUAUUUUGUGAGUUUGUGUCUAAUUCGGGCUUAAGAUAAUUAGUUUUAGUUGAUUCAGCUAAUCUAAAC
RNAcentral lists this long non-coding RNA (2278 nucleotides) under Elaeis guineensis (African oil palm). Its description in RNAcentral is "long non-coding RNA (EGUI_LNC011086)". Lineage: Eukaryota; Viridiplantae; Streptophyta; Magnoliopsida; Arecales; Arecaceae. The record is from RNAcentral.